Molecule: ribosomal RNA, 815 nt
Filed under: Halococcus sp.
Lineage: Archaea; Methanobacteriati; Methanobacteriota; Halobacteria; Halobacteriales; Halococcaceae
Description: bacterial SSU rRNA
Rfam family: Archaeal small subunit ribosomal RNA
Source: RNAcentral
GGUCCGAUUCAGCCAUGCUAGUUGUACGGGUUUAGACCCGUAGCAAAUAGCUCCGUAACACGUGGUCAAACUACCCUCUGGACCGGGAUACCCUCGGGAAACUGAGGCUAAUUCCGGAUACUGCUUUCAUGUUGGAACACAGAAAGUCGGAAACGGUCCGCCGCCGGAGGACGUGACUGCGGCCGAUUAGGUAGACGGUGGGGUAACGGCCCACCGUGCCGAUAAUCGGUACGGGUUGUGAGAGCAAGAACCCGGAGACGGUAUCUGAGACAAGAUACCGGGCCCUACGGGGCGCAGCAGGCGCGAAACCUUUACACUGCACGCCAGUGCGAUAAGGGGACCCCGAGUGCGAGGGCAUACAGUCCUCGCUUUUCGUGACCGUAAGAAGGUCUCAGAAUAAGAGCUGGGCAAGACCGGUGCCAGCCGCCGCGGUAAUACCGGCAGCUCGAGUGAUAGCCACUAUUAUUGGGCCUAAAGCGUCCGUAGCCGGCCGAACAGGUCCGUCGGGAAAUCCACCCGCUCAACGGGUGGACGUCCGGCGGAAACCAGUCGGCUUGGGGCCGGGAGACCAGAGAGGUACGUCCGGGGUAGGAGUGAAAUCCUGUAAUCCUGGACGGACCGCCGGUAGCGAAAGCGUCUCUGGAGAACGGACCCGACGGUGAGGGACGAAAGCUUGGGUCUCGAACCGGAUUAGAUACCCGGGUAGUCCAAGCUGUAAACGAUGCUCGCUAGGUGUGGCGUUGGCUACGAGCCAGCGCUGUGCCGUAGGGAAGCCGAGAAGCGAGCCGCCUGGGAAGUACGUCCGCAAGGAUGAA